GAGCUUAUGAUGAAAAAAAAUAAUUAUCUUAGCGGAUUUCAGUGAGAUUUUAAUCAAUGAUCUGAUUGUUACACACACUGAGGCUC
Erigeron canadensis is the source of this 86-nucleotide small nucleolar RNA. RefSeq annotates it as small nucleolar RNA R11/Z151. The record is from RefSeq and is a predicted model, not a curated record. NCBI's taxonomy places the organism in Eukaryota, Viridiplantae, Streptophyta, Magnoliopsida, Asterales, Asteraceae. The transcript has a single exon.